GUGUGGGUAAUUUAAUGGCAGAAUAGGCGACUAUUAAUCGUCCAACGGAGGUUCGAUUCCUUCCCCACAUA
This 71-nucleotide transfer RNA is filed under the name Pseudomonas sp. Its description in RNAcentral is "tRNA-Asn". It matches the Rfam family "tRNA". From Rfam's summary of the family: Transfer RNA (tRNA) molecules are approximately 80 nucleotides in length. RNAcentral also lists the same sequence under 5 other names. The record is from RNAcentral. Lineage: Bacteria; Pseudomonadati; Pseudomonadota; Gammaproteobacteria; Pseudomonadales; Pseudomonadaceae.